This 422-nucleotide ribosomal RNA is filed under the name uncultured archaeon. RNAcentral's name for it is "partial 16S ribosomal RNA". It matches the Rfam family "Archaeal small subunit ribosomal RNA", at positions 323 to 746 of the family's 1478-position model. The record is from RNAcentral.
CUACGGGUGGCACCAGGCGAGAAAACUUUGCAAUGUGCGAAAGCACGACAAGGUUAAUCCGAGUGGUUUCUGCUAAAGGAACCUUUUGACAGUCCUAGAAACACUGUUGAAUAAGGGGUGGGCAAGUUCUGGUGUCAGCCGCCGCGGUAAAACCAGCACCUCAAGUGGUCAGGAUGAUUAUUGGGCCUAAGGCAUCCGUAGCCGGCUCUGUAAGUUUUCGGUUAAAUCUGUACGCUCAACGUACAGGCUGCCGGGAAUACUGCAGAGCUAGGGAGUGGGAGAGGUAGACGGUACUCGGUAGGAAGGGGUAAAAUCCUUUGAGCUAUUGAUGACCACCUGUGGCGAAGGCGGUCUACCAGAACACGUCCGACGGUGAGGGAUGAAAGCUGGGGGAGCAAACCGGAUUAGAUACCCGCGUAGUC